GUUGGGAUCGAGGGCUGCAACCCGCCCUCGUGAACAUGGAAUCCCUAGUAAUCGCGGGUCAUCAACCCGCGGUGAAUACGUCCCCGCCCCUUGCACACACCGCCCGUCGCUCCACCCGAGUGAGGCCUAGAUGAGGCGCAGUUAACUUGGCUGCGUCGAAUCUAGGCUUCGCGAGGGGGGAGAAGUCGUAACAAGGUGGCCGUAGGGGAACCUGCGGCCGGAUCACCUCCUAAG
RNAcentral lists this ribosomal RNA (234 nucleotides) under Candidatus Bathyarchaeota archaeon. Its description in RNAcentral is "partial 16S ribosomal RNA". It matches the Rfam family "Archaeal small subunit ribosomal RNA", at positions 1247 to 1478 of the family's 1478-position model. The record is from RNAcentral. Lineage: Archaea; Thermoproteati; Candidatus Bathyarchaeota.